UGAACAAGAGGGAGACAAGGUGACUGAGCAGACUUUUGUUGCUGCUCUCUCUCUCCCUUUUUCUCUCUCUCCCAAUGUUUUUUUUCUCCUCCUCCCCCUGUAGUGAGUGUUUUUUGCUAUGGAAGAGCAAGAGGAGGUGCAGAUUUCAGCUAGUGAAAAAUACAGGAGGAAGUAAAGAAAAUAAGAAGAAGAGGAGGACGAUGAUUGAGAAAAGGCAAGAGAGAAAGACUUCACCCCCAUCUCCCUCUUCCCCUCCCUCAUUCCUUCCUCUGCCAACGACUUUUACCUCAGAAAUAGCGGAGGGACCAACUUCAAAAGGCAGUCAGGAGGGAACUGGAGUGUGAAAUCUGAGAAGAGAAGCAAGAUGAGAGGCUGACCGGCGCUGUGUUUGCUAUGCUGUCCAGGAGCUGCCAGGCCAGCAGGCUAAUCUGGAACCUGGAAUUAAUCUCAGCUAUCAUGGAGGACCCAGCUGCUGAAGGUUGAAGGCCUGUGAGAUGGAAUACGCACAAGACAGCCAGGUAUUGACUGGAUGCCGAGGCAGUCCUCUCUCCUUCUCCAGCGGGCCUCAGUUUCAGUGUUGCCCCGCACCAGGUCAUGUUGGAUUUAAAGACAGACUGGAAAUCCCCUGAUGAAUCAACAUUUAACACUUCGCUGCCACAUCUCCCAAAAAGCUGCAAAUAUGUUUUUGGACGUUUGAAGGAAAAGAGCUUAAGCGUGUUGGCUGCAGUUAAGGUUUUGGAUCAUUUUUUGCUUCAACAGCCUUGAUACCAGGGAGCUAUACAUAUGUGCAUCCUCACAGAUAUUUGAUCUUUGGGUAUCAAGUUGGUUUCUUUUUCUUUUUAACCUCAGCUGGCAAGAUUUUAAAGGACUCUUUAACUGUCGUUCUUUAAGAAGAUGUUAAGUCAUUCACUGACCUGCUCUCAGUCUUUUGGAGGGUCCUAUAGCAGCAUAAGAAUCUUUGUGACAUUAUAGAAAUUACUUUUUAACAAAAAACACCUUUUUUUUUGAGUAUGAGUCUAUGGUUUAGAGCCGCAACAAUUAACUAAUUAAUUGAUGCAUUGAUCAGCAGAAAAUUGAUGGGCAAUUAUUUUGAUAAUCAUUUAAUCCUUUCAGUCAUUUUAUUAAGCAAGAAUGCAAAUAUUUGCUGCUCCUAGGCUGUAAACUUUAAACUGUAAACUUUGUGUUAUGGACUCAGAUGAAACAAAAAAAAAAUGUAGACAUCAGUUUGGACUCUGGAAAAUUAUAAAGGCCAAUUUUUCCCUACUUUCAGACAUUUUACAACAAAACAAUUCAUGAAUUAAUUUAUAAAAUAGACAGAUUAAUUGAUAGUGAAUUACUUAUU
Long non-coding RNA from Xiphias gladius (swordfish), 1342 nucleotides. RefSeq lists it as uncharacterized. NCBI's taxonomy places the organism in Eukaryota, Metazoa, Chordata, Actinopteri, Istiophoriformes, Xiphiidae. The record is from RefSeq and is a predicted model, not a curated record. The transcript has 4 exons.